UUUUAAGAGACUUGGAGAAGAAUUAGGAUAGGACAAUUGAUGAGCAUAUAUCAGAUUCAUAACGAAGAAUUUGAAUAAAAACUCAUAACUACAUAUGCUGGUUUCUUCUUGUUUCCAUUUCAUUGCAAUUUGAGAACAAAAGUGAAAGAACAAACGAAAAACAGGGAACAAUUUCUCAUGAAAAUGUAAAUUUUACAAAAAAAAUUUUCACCUUUUGUUAUUUGAACUACCAUUUUCAUUGCCCUACCAUCUGCUAAAUGCACAAGCCACUAGAUUCCUAAUUGCAAAGAGCCCAAGCUUCGCUCUAAACAAAGCCAAUCUCCCAUUACUAUUCGAUGGACCACCUGCAACCACUAUUUGACCACUCAUUUCAGGAAACUCUAAACCACUUUCUUGGCCUACACCAUCACUCAUACUAGCAUCUAAACCUUCAUUGUCACUACCAGCAGCAUCAAAAUUAACAACUAGCGAGGCUUUUUGCCGCUGCAAGCACUCCACAACUUCACUGCUCACUCCUCUGCAUUGCUUCAACUUGAUCUUAACCAAAUUCGGACAUCCCCAAGCAAGAGCUCGGAUUGCAACGUCUGAAAUAGCACAUCCCUUUAUACACAGCUUUUUCAAUGCCACGCAUUUAGCUGCAAUGCAAGCAAUCUCUUGAUCACCAAUGCUUCCAGUCCCACACAGCGCCAAUCGUUCCAGUUUCUGGCAAUUAGCAGCAAUGGCGGCCAAGCUCGCCUGCGUCGCAUCAACACCAAUCAAAACCAGCUCUUGUAGAUUUGGACAAUGUUUGGCCACUGCAAUUAAACCUUCAUCUCCAAUCCUAUUAGUCCUCCAUCCAUCUAUGUGAAGCUUCCUCAGUUGCUUGCAAUUCUCCGCCACGCAAACAAGCCCUAAAUUCGAACACUCUGGGGUUUUCACUAUAUGCAAAAUCUCCAUAUUUACCCAUUUCGAAAUCGCUGCAAGACCAAUGUCGCUCAUUUGAAUCCUUUCAAGGUGUACAUCAAUUAAUAAGCUGUUUUCGUUUCCAAUAAUUUGAAGUACCUUAUCCCAAUCACCCAAACACCGAAUAAUUUUCAAGGUUUUAAGAUUUUUAGCUCCGAUCACAAGCUGUUCAAAAGACUGACCGUUGACUAGCUCCUUCAAGCAGAUCGAUUUUAAAGACGAAGCCGCGGCCCCUGGGGCGAUCGUCUUGGCUCCGUCGUGUAUUCCUCGGAGCCGCUUAAUAGACAGAUCCUCCAGCGCCUUGCAGUGAUCCAGCACCGCAUUUAUGCCCAUGGUGCCGAAAGCGCACGAGCCAAAAGAGAGCUUUCUCAAGUUCUUGCAAUUUUCAGCGAAUGCGGCCAUACCGUCGUCGGUGAUUUCUCGGCAGCCGCGGAUCUUAAGGCGCUCAAGUUUCUGACAACGGACGGAGAUCAUGACAAAAGUGUCAUCAUUUAAGCUCAUGGAUUUGCGGUCACAACGCAAGGAGAGUUUAGUGACCGAAUCGAACCGCGUGAAUAGAGAAGGAAUACACGAAAAAAUCUCCACUUUCGCGUGUAGAGAGAGCCGGUGGCGGCUCCGACCGUCAACGAGUAACCACCGUCGGCAAACCAAGGAGCAGCUUUUCCGGUCUCCAGUAGAAAGGAAUUGGAAAAUGUACGCCAAACACUCGUCAGGAAUAUCCUCCGUAUAAUCAACAUCAGCAGUUGCUUCGUCAGGGAGCUCUGGCGAUUGCGAUGAAGAAGAAACAAUCGCCGGAGUUAAAACCCGAUUAGAAGAAUUGGAGGUGGAAGCUGACUGACCCAUUGGGAAAAUGAACGACACGCGCCGCCGUAAAUCAAAUAUAAUAUGUAUAGAGAAUCAGUUUCUGCGUUAAAGUCUAAUGUUUUGUCACUGGAGGUGGAAUCUGGAGAGGAUAAUAUAAAUGGAGAUCUGUAGAUUAGGUAUUCAAUUGUGAUUUUCUUACCCGGUCAAUUGGGGUGCGUGUUCUCUUCGCAAUCGCCAUCGUCGACUAUGCACUGACUUCCGCCAUGGACGCGCAUAGUUGGUGUGCGUUGAAUUGCCUAUGAUGAGGUGUGGGAAACAAAUCGCGGCCGUUGAAGUGCUGAAUUGUGGGGCCCGGAAGGUUAUGAUAUUUUUUUUUUUAGUGGAGGUUGAUCAUGCACGAACUUGGCGAUAUAAAGUAAUAGAAUGUGGUGUACACAAACACGAACUUGCUACACG
Molecule: unclassified non-coding RNA, 2202 nt
Filed under: Hevea brasiliensis (rubber tree)
Lineage: Eukaryota; Viridiplantae; Streptophyta; Magnoliopsida; Malpighiales; Euphorbiaceae
Source: RNAcentral